CCCGCCCCUCCCAGCGCUACCUUCAUGGGCGUUCGGACAAAUGAGCUUUGGAAACACGUGGAAUCCGGUGAACUGAAAUGAAUCUGUCCUACGCGUUUCGAGGUCCAUUCGUCGCCCCAACACUGAAAGUGCUCCUGGAAUUAAUCUGCAAACCUUCCUCAGAACAUCGUGAUGAGUUGCCACAACAUCACCCUAAAGUGUGUCGGACCAGGGACACAUUUAAAAGUUGCAAGACACCGGCUUUUGAGGACUGGACUUUGACACCCCUGUCCUAAGGUAUUCCGAUGUAACUGAGCCACCUCAUCUAUGCUGAAGAUACUCAGAUCAUACAGAAGUGGGAGGGAGAUUAAAUUU
Fundulus heteroclitus (mummichog) is the source of this 354-nucleotide long non-coding RNA. RefSeq lists it as uncharacterized. NCBI's taxonomy places the organism in Eukaryota, Metazoa, Chordata, Actinopteri, Cyprinodontiformes, Fundulidae. The record is from RefSeq and is a predicted model, not a curated record. The transcript is spliced from 3 exons.